UUUGAGGUGAUUGAUUUAUGUUUGGAGACACUUUCUUAUAAGUGAUUCUUAUGAGUUGAUGUUGUUUGGAUAG
Molecule: microRNA precursor, 73 nt
Filed under: Medicago truncatula (barrel medic)
Lineage: Eukaryota; Viridiplantae; Streptophyta; Magnoliopsida; Fabales; Fabaceae
Description: MIR5272 microRNA precursor family
Rfam family: MIR5272 microRNA precursor family
Source: Rfam by way of RNAcentral